Molecule: long non-coding RNA, 241 nt
Filed under: Elaeis guineensis (African oil palm)
Lineage: Eukaryota; Viridiplantae; Streptophyta; Magnoliopsida; Arecales; Arecaceae
Description: long non-coding RNA (EGUI_LNC043689)
Source: RNAcentral
UUGCAUCCAUAUAGGUGACUGGAUCCUCAUUGUUCUCAUCGAGCUUAAUAGGAUCGCCAUCUCGGAUCAAGAAACCUAGGAUCCGACUGAUGCGGUACUCUACCGAAUCACCUUAAGAAUGUUUGUAUAUUGGGCUUCAGAUUUAAUCUUAUCAAAUCUGGCUCAGAUUCAGUUACUGACGUCAGUUCUUCUACCUGUCGAACUUCAUCAAGCUCAACUUUAGAGGCACUUGUUCCUUCAC